UACGUAGGAGGCAAGCGUUGUCCGGAAUUACUGGGCGUAAAGCGCGUGUAGGUGGUGGGACAAGUCUGCUGUGAAAGCGCCUGGCUUAACCGGGCGAGGUCGGCGGAAACUGUCCGACUCGAGGACGGUAGAGGGGGGUGGAAUUCCCGGUGUAGUGGUGAAAUGCGUAGAGAUCCGGAGGAACACCAGUGGCGAAGGCGGCUGCCUGGGCCUGGCCUGACGCUGAGGCGCGAAAGCGUGGGGAGCGAUCCGG
RNAcentral lists this ribosomal RNA (253 nucleotides) under uncultured bacterium. Its description in RNAcentral is "partial 16S ribosomal RNA". It matches the Rfam family "Bacterial small subunit ribosomal RNA", at positions 524 to 776 of the family's 1533-position model. The record is from RNAcentral.